CGGAGGAUGCAAGCGUUAUCCGGAUUCAUUGGGUUUAAAGGGUGCGUAGGCGGACUUGUAAGUCAGGGGUGAAAUCCGGCAGCUCAACUGUCGAACUGCCUCUGAUACUGCAGGUCUUGAGUCAACAUGAAGCAGGCGGAAUAUGACAUGUAGCGGUGAAAUGCAUAGAUAUGUCAUAGAACACCGAUAGCGAAGGCAGCCUGCUAAAGUUGUACUGACGCUGAUGCACGAAAGCGUGGGUAGCGAACAGGAUUAGAUACCCUGGUAGUCCACGCCGUAAACGAUGAUCACUCGCUGCAUGCGAUAGACAGUAUGUGGCCAAGCGAAAGCGUUAAGUGAUCCACCUGGGGAAUACGAUCGCAAGGUUG
RNAcentral lists this ribosomal RNA (368 nucleotides) under uncultured organism. RNAcentral's name for it is "bacterial SSU rRNA". It matches the Rfam family "Bacterial small subunit ribosomal RNA", at positions 526 to 896 of the family's 1533-position model. The record is from RNAcentral.